This 633-nucleotide ribosomal RNA is filed under the name Erythrobasidium elongatum. Its description in RNAcentral is "eukaryotic LSU rRNA". The stretch from base 177 to 330 matches the Rfam family "5.8S ribosomal RNA". The record is from RNAcentral. Lineage: Eukaryota; Fungi; Basidiomycota; Cystobasidiomycetes; Erythrobasidiales; Erythrobasidiaceae.
UCCGUAGGUGAACCUGCGGAAGGAUCAUUAAUGAAAUUCAAGGAUGCUCUUUUUAGAGGUCCGACCAAUAUCAUUUUCCAACACUGUGAACUCACUACUCUUUUUACACCCAUUUUUAAAACACAAAAGUCUAUAAGAAUGUAAAAGUCUCUUAAUUGAGCAUAAAGUUAUAAUAAAACUUUCGGGAACGGAUCUCUUGGGUCCCGCAUCGAUGAAGAACGCAGCGAAAUGCGAUACGUAAUGUGAAUUGCAGAAUUCAGUGAAUCAUCGAAUCUUUGAACGCACCUUGCACUCUUUGGUAUUCCGAAGAGUAUGUCUGUUUGAGUGUCAUGAAUCUCUCAACCCCCCUGUUUUGUAAUGAGACAGGGGUUUGGGGUUGGAUUAUGGGUGCUUGCUGGUCAGAGAACCUUAACUAGUUUUCGAGUUACCGGGUCGGGUGAAAUACACGAGCAACCCAGUUUGAAUAUUAACGGGUUGACUCGGGGUGAUAAUUAUUUCGCUGAGGACGUUUCAUAUCAAGAUAGUGGUGCUUCUAAUGCAGAGUGUUUAACAGCACUUCUACCUUAUACUUUAGACCUCAAAUCAGUCAGGACUACCCGCUGAACUUAAGCAUAUCAAUAAGCGGAGGAAAAG